RNAcentral lists this unclassified non-coding RNA (312 nucleotides) under uncultured fungus. Its description in RNAcentral is "partial contains small subunit ribosomal RNA, internal transcribed spacer 1, and 5.8S ribosomal RNA". The stretch from base 1 to 73 matches the Rfam family "Eukaryotic small subunit ribosomal RNA", at positions 1759 to 1831 of the family's 1831-position model. The record is from RNAcentral. Lineage: Eukaryota; Fungi.
GCAAACUUGGUCAUUUAGAGGAAGUAAAAGUCGUAACAAGGUUUCCGUAGGUGAACCUGCGGAAGGAUCAUUACUGAGUUAGGGUCCUCUCGGGCUCGACCUCCCAACCCUAUGUUUACUGUACCUAUGUUGCUUCGGCGGGCCCGUCUCACGACCGCCGGGGGACCGUCAGACGUCCUCUGGCCCGCGCCCGUCGGUGGCCCUACUUGAUAAACUCUGAUCGAAACGUGUCGUGUCUGAGUAAAAUUCAUAAAUUAAAGCAAAACUUUCAACAACGGAUCUCUUGGUUCUGGCAUCGAUGAAGAACGCAGC